Molecule: small nuclear RNA, 86 nt
Filed under: Salmo salar (Atlantic salmon)
Lineage: Eukaryota; Metazoa; Chordata; Actinopteri; Salmoniformes; Salmonidae
Description: U5 spliceosomal RNA
Rfam family: U5 spliceosomal RNA
About the family: U5 RNA is a component of both types of known spliceosome. The precise function of this molecule is unknown, though it is known that the 5' loop is required for splice site selection and p220 binding, and that both the 3' stem-loop and the Sm site are important for Sm protein binding and cap methylation.
Source: Rfam by way of RNAcentral
CUUUCGCCUUUUACUAAAGACUUCCGUGGAGAGGAACACUUACGAGUUCAACGUAUUUUUGGAAGGGCUUUGCUUCUGGCAGAGCC